GGGUCAUUAGGUUGGUCGUGCCACCGGUACGUACUGGUCUCACUGAUUCCUCCUUCCUGAAGAACCGUAAUGCCAUUAAUUUGGUGUCGCGGGGAAACAGGACUGUUACUUUGAAAAAAUUAGAGUGUUUAAAGCAAGCUAACGCUUGAAUACAUUAGCAUGGAAUAAUGAAAUAGGACGAUCGAUCCUAUUUUGUUGGUUUCUAGGAUUGACGUA
Molecule: ribosomal RNA, 216 nt
Filed under: Glomeromycotina sp.
Lineage: Eukaryota; Fungi; Glomeromycota
Description: partial small subunit ribosomal RNA
Rfam family: Eukaryotic small subunit ribosomal RNA (bases 40-216)
Source: RNAcentral